Molecule: long non-coding RNA, 137 nt
Organism: Etheostoma cragini (Arkansas darter)
Lineage: Eukaryota; Metazoa; Chordata; Actinopteri; Perciformes; Percidae
Exons: 4
Source: RefSeq, a predicted model, not a curated record
CCAAAUUCUCGGAUUGCAGCUUGUUAAAUGUGAAUAGUUUCUAGAGCAUUCUCUCCUCUGUGAUAGUAAACUGGAUCUCUUUGAGUUGGGGACAAUACAAGACAUCUGAGGACACCAUCCGGGGCUUUUUUGUAAAC